RNAcentral lists this long non-coding RNA (342 nucleotides) under Cyanistes caeruleus (blue tit). Its description in RNAcentral is "lncRNA (ENSCCEG00000022736.1)". The record is from RNAcentral. Lineage: Eukaryota; Metazoa; Chordata; Aves; Passeriformes; Paridae.
CUGCGGUGUCUGCAGCCAGCCCUCCUUGCCCAGGCAGCCUGAGGACAUGUGGGUGCUGGGCUGGGCUGUGUGCCCAGUGCCAGCUGUCUCCAAUCGGCCCUGGUGACCCUGGCACAUCCUCAUUUUUGCCAGUUAUCACUGCAAGAAGCAGCAAGUAGGUAUCUGCCUACUCCCUUACUUAACUGAAGAGGACCCUCAUAUUCAAAAGCUUCUUAUAUUUUCUUCAGAGAGUUGGAGCAGCCUCCAGCACAGAAAUUUCAGCCAGUGUUAUUGCCUGUCAGUUCUAAUCCCUCAGAAUUUCAGCCAGCAAGGGUAUAAUAAGGUAAGUUUUGUCUUUUCAAA